GAUGAACGCUGGCGGCAUGCCUAAUACAUGCAAGUCGAACGAGAGGAAGGAAAGCUUGCUUUUCUGAAUCUAGUGGCGAACGGGUGAGUAACACGUAGGUAACCUGCCCAUGUGCCCGGGAUAACUUCUGGAAACGGAUGCUAAAACCGGAUAGGUAGCAGACAAGCAUUUGACUGCUAUUAAAGUGGCUAAGGCCAUGAACAUGGAUGGACCUGCGGUGCAUUAGCUAGUUGGUGAGGUAACGGCCCACCAAGGUGACGAUGCAUAGCCGGCCUGAGAGGGCGGACGGCCACAUUGGGACUGAGACACGGCCCAAACUCCUACGGGAGGCAGCAGUAGGGAAUCUUCGUCAAUGGGGGGAACCCUGAACGAGCAAUGCCGCGUGAGUGAGGAAGGUCUUCGGAUCGUAAAGCUCUGUUGUAAGAGAAAAACGACAUUCAUAGGGAAUGAUGAGUGAGUAAUGGUAUCUUACCAGAAAGUCACGGCUAACUACGUGCCAGCCGCCGCAGUAA
This 512-nucleotide ribosomal RNA is filed under the name uncultured bacterium. RNAcentral's name for it is "partial 16S ribosomal RNA". It matches the Rfam family "Bacterial small subunit ribosomal RNA", at positions 28 to 523 of the family's 1533-position model. The record is from RNAcentral.